CGCAGAGACAUUUCUACAGCUCUGUAAUUAAUUUUAAUUGUGGCUACGAGUUGACUUCUAUCAGAGUUUCAAGUGAGAUGCUGCCUCUAUGUCCCACAAGGAGGAACGCAACUGUGGGUGCACAGAGAGGCAAAAAGUGAAGGUUCGGUGAGCUGCGCUCAUCUAAUGCUUUGUUUGAAAUGUUCUGAGCACAGAGCUCCUCCAGAGCAUGUCCUGCUGCACCCGGGGGCUGGAUCUGGGACCUCUGCCCUUCAAUACAGAGCCCAGUGUUUUAUAUCCCCAUCUACACGAAAAGAAGUGGAAAAGGGAAUUAACGCUCUGGUCCCUCAAAUGUUUUCUCCUUUACCAUGAUGUCUGGGAGAGAGAGACGUGAGGGCCUCGCAGAUGUUCACAGUUACUCACCGGUCACUUUGCUGGGGUUGGUUUGUGUUCCCACUCCUUUCAGCGCUGUGGAGCCUUAAAACAUGCCAAGGAGUUUCUCAAGCUCAUUAACAUGAGAGCAAGUCGUAGUGGACAGAGGAGAGACUUUAGAAGGUCUGUUGUGCUGGUCUCUAAAAAACCCGGAGAAAGAAAAGAGCAGCCUGAGACCCACCUCUCCUGGUUCCCAUUGCUAUGGAGAUGUGUGUGAUGAACUUGAAGUACAAACAAGGAUAUUCACCCAUUUUAAGUGCAGUUUAGCCCAGCUGACUUCUCCAGCUUCCUUCUGUAGUCACUGGGGAAGGAAACGCUCCUCUGUGGAAUUUAAUUUUGGUGCUUGGAGUUGCAGCCUGGAUGGGUCAAUCUUUUUCCACGGACUUCAGAAGCAGCCUGGAAAUACGAGGCCAAACAAGGUGCCUAUUGCUGAGUAAAUGGAGGGGGAGAUGAACAUCCUUCUCCAGAACUGAAUGCAGUUAUCCAGGCUUAUGGUCAGUCUCCACGCUGUGCUUCACCUCUGAGAUAAGACAGCGUAAGGCUUUGGCUCAAGUGUGCCUCUUCAGGAGGUGGAGAGCUGGGCGUUUCUGUUUUUUUCAGACAAUUUUAUGCUCUGCCUUCAUUACUCAUGAGACUCUGACAACAUACUGUUUCUGCAGUGAUCGACAGACUGGUUUGGAUGGCAGCUCUUCACGCCCUGUGCUCACCGCAGAUGUGGUUCUUCACAUCAAGGAGCUUGCACUGAGUCACUGCAUUGCACUGAGCAGAGCUGAUCAGACGUGAAUGGGGCAGAGGGGACUGACCCCUGCCCUGCUCCCCUGAAUCAGACCACAGCACAUCCACAUGCCUUCAGGAGUUGGUGUCAGCCUGGAAGAUGCCCCACAACCUGUCCUUGGCUUUCUAAAGCACCAGCACGAUGCUGGAAAAGUGGUGAAGGGGAAGGGCCAAGAACUAGUGAUAAUGAAGUACAUCCCAGUAAAUCUAUGCUGACUUUAUGGGGCUGCACGGCAUGCCCUGGAUGAUGAGGUUCCUGCCUUGCUGGCUCGGCAUUUCCAUGGGGCUUCUGGACUCCAAGGGGCCACUGGUGCAUGCUGCCCUCUGAGAGGCAGGUUGGAUUCAAGAACAUGUUCUUAUCCCUCAAACUUUUGCUAAGUUUCAGAAGAAGAACUCCUUACAAGUUCAGAUAUGUAAGCAUUGGGUGUCUUUAUCUGUUCUGUCUUUCACAAAGAAUGAGAACUACGAAUGUAGUUAUGCUAUACUUGAAGGGAGAGUAUAAACAGGAGGGGGAACAGCUGUUUACGAGGGUGGACAGUGACAGGACAAGAGGGAAUGGUUUUAAACUGAAACAGGGGAGGUUUAGCUUGGAUAUGAGGAGGAAGUUCUUCACCCAGAGGGUGGUGACGCACUGGAACAGGUUGCCCAAGGAGGUUGUGGAUGCCCCAUCCCUGGAGGCAUUCAGGGCCAGGCUGGAUGUAGCUCUGGGCAGCCUGGUCUGGUGGUUGGCGACCCUGCACAUAGCAGGGGGGUUGAAACUGGAUGAUCAUUGUGGUCCUUUUCAACCCAGUCCAUGCUAUGAUGAUUCUAUGAUGAUGAUACGGGGCUGAGCCUCAAAAGGCCUGUUCCCAUGCUGUUUGCAGCCUAAUUUGGUAGCACCAAGGAAGGUGUUUAUAAAUGUCUUCUUUUCUACAGAAGCCCUUUCAAACCUAAUUGAAGGCAUUUGACCUUUUGGGAUUCACGUUGAUUCUGUCAAAGAGAAACAUAAGGAGGACUCCAUUCCCACCAAAUGUUUAAAUGUUGCAAAGCCAUGGGUAUGGUCAUUUGUCAUUGGAUAUUCCCUGGUUCUUUGCAGUGCUAAACCAAACUGACACCUGUAAUUUUUACCAACUUUCAACCUGGGCAGCAAUUGCCUAAAUGCCUCCAUCCUCCAGUAAAUUAAGUGGUCCACCAUACUUUUGAACUACUGUGUUGUUCCCCAUUCAACGUUGGGUGUAUUCAGUUCUGCUGGUAUUGAGAUUUCUGGUCAUAAGCGAAGUAGAGUUUGACUCUUAAUUUUGGUGAAGUGGGAUGCUAGGUCAUGAAUAAAUCCGCACUAUGCUAGGGGCUGUGCAAAGAAUAGAGAUGAACCCAGCCUCAAAUAUCCACGCUUAGUAGCCCGUGUCAUAAUUAAAAGUUGUUAGGACACUUCAGAAUCUCCCUACCUUGUAAGUGAUGCAUCCAUAUACAUUUAUAUCUCCAUAAUAAAAUAGAAAACCUGUACACUUUUAUUGUUGAUAAUAAAACAUAAAAUACGAUACUAUUCUCCAAGUAACAUGAAUGCAGCAAUCGGAGUACCUGGGGAGGGGAGGAAUCUUGAUCUCUUGCACACUUUUGGUUUACAUGUACCUCAAGUUGCUCGCUUUAUAGAAAGAAGCAGAAUUUGUUGUGGAAACUGUCUCACACGGAGCACACUGAAUUCAGGUGGAGAGCACAGAGCGGGAGCUCCUGCCCUUCUAAUAAUCAAAUACUGUGCAUUCAUGAAUAAAGCUCUAACAGUAACGAUAAGAGAAGAAAAUACAGCAACCACGUGAUGUAUUAGCAGAAUGUCUUACAAAGUCCCCCACAAAGCAUCCGCUGCUCUUGAAAAGCCCAACCAGCCCAAGUGAGAAACUAUUCACAAGUUUAGUAUUCAGAUUACAUACUCCGUCUUUUCAACUGCUCUCUGUACAAUGAAUGCCUGUACAACUACAGUAACAGACACAGAUCUACAGUUUCUGUGGCCUUUGAGCUAUUAUGAGCAUUGUGCCUCUCCAUAAAUUACAUCUGCAUGUCCUGAAAAUACCAACUGUUUUAAUAGGAAUUAAUCUAUAGGCUUUUAUCUUCCUGAAAUACAAGGGGUGCAGUAUGUUGAGUCGCUUUUAAAAUUAAUAGGGUAUGGCCUGAAAAUAUUCAAGGAUGUUCAUUAUUUUCUUUAUAGGUCUCUUUAUUGGUGCAUAUAAGCAUAAAACAGUGCCUUUUUGUAGUAGAGAGGAGGAGAUGGAAUACUGAAUAGAUUAGUGCUUAUAUGGUUGUAGAUUGCCCGACACAGUUAAGUAAAGAAAGGUCUACAUUUGUCCUGUUCAAAGUAUAUUGGGAUUCGAUCCAAUUUGUCAUCAAAGUACCCCUUCUUGGUUAGAAAAGAGAGGGUUCAGUCUAAAGGCAUGAAAGCUGACCCGGAGGUCCAUUGCUCAGUGGUGUUCAUAGCUGUCCAAGGUAGCAGUGUAGUAGAUAUGCCUUUUUUUAACUUCCUAAACCUAAAAAAACCUGGAGCUUUUGCAGCAAUAAGCUAUUAUUUAUGUGGAUACCUAACACAGGUCUUGGGGGAGCUAACUCCUAGAACACUUUGACCUUAUAAAAGCACACAAAAUAGUAUCAACCAGAUCAUUUAAACCAGAAUUGAUAUAAAAAGCCUUUUUGGCUGUUUUGAAUAUUAACAUGUGUGAAGGCAUACGCACACAAGUUAAAUGCAUAUAUAGUUAAAUACUACACUGAAACAGGCUGAGCCCAUCACUGACCUAUCGAAACAUGUUACUGAUGAGCAAUAAGGCAUUAAUUUCUCCUCCCGGCCUCCCUGUUAAAUGGGGCAGCUCUGUUGCAUCCAACAGAACAAAGGAGAACUGAGGCCUGUGGUUACCCUGGGGACACGACAAGUCUCAGGACUGGGUGGCUGUCCCCUGGGCAGCUGGGCUGUUGUGGCAGAGCACUGUCUAGAGCAGGCAUGGCUGUGUGAGGACUGCUUAGGUCUCAUGGAUGGAAACAGAGGGGAAAGGAGCUCCAGAAAUGGCUCUCCAUAAGAUUUGCCCCAAGCAGCUUCUGUAGUGUGGCAGAAGUCUGCGGCAAAGCUGAGAAGUGCUUUCAGGCUAUUGCUCAGAUGAAAAAAUAAAACCCUCGUUGCAUUAUUUGCUGCAAUUUAAAAACAGAUCUGAAACGUAGAGGAAUGAUGACUUGGUUGAAAUCACACAGAGGACCUCUGUCCACGGCUGGAUGUGAACACUGGUGUCCUGAUCCCUAAACCACCACUUGAGCCUCAAGGUCGCCACAGCUGCUCCAGAGAGUGUAACCUGGGGGCAGUUGCGUGGUUGAUGGAAAUCACGGGAGCUCUCUCUGCAGCCCCUGAGCUGUGGCAGAGCUGAAUUUUGCAAUGAAACCAGUGAUUCACCCUAUGCCCAUGCUGCUGUGGUGAAGAUGCUCUCAUCUCUGCAGUCUUCGCACUUAACAGAUUAAUUUUUAAGGGUGAACCCUUUCAGGUUAGUGCCUGUCCCCUGCUUUUCCCUUGGUCACUCUUGCCUGUUUUCACAGCUUCAUUUGGUUUUGAAAGCUUAUGGAGCAGCGGGAUUAAAACCAGAAAUAAUUACUGUAGAGGACGGGUCUGGCGUUUCCCAUCAGCUUCCAUGACUCAAGCUGGUUCCAACAGCUUUGGGAGAAAAGCUGUUAGUUAUUAAAUUAUUACCUGUAAGGAGAGCCAGCUGGAAGCUUUCAGCUUUCAACAUUUUGAUGAAAAGCAUCAUAAAAAAUCUUGACGACAAAACUUCCAGCAUUUCAACGACACCUUUUACAUUUACCCAUGCUUUCCAAUGCCUUGUAAGAGCUAUCGAGAGCCGCCCAGACCUGCCAUCUUGGGAAUUUUGACCCCACGGUGGAAAAAAAAAAAGGAAAAAAAAAAAAGUGCAAAAAACAUAAAGUGUUUGCUGUUCAGCGAAUUCAUUUGGACAGCUUUUGGGAAGUCACUUUCCAUCUGGAGGAGAGCGUCCACAAGGAGGGUUAUUCCGGCAUAACGGUAACGGUGUAAUUACACAGCUAUAGCUAUGCCAGCCUAUUUUCUGAGGUAGGCAAGCCAAGUCUAGUUGCUGAAACGUAGGCGUGGGAAACAAGAAGUCUGCUUUCUAGGCUCGGCUCUGAGCACUGCUCUUCAUGGCCUUGGGCCAGUCCCCUAACCCUCCUGCCUCCUUCCUAUGCAAAAUGAGAAGAGUUAAACUAACCGGCUUCUCAGAUGUGGUGUAAUGACUAAUUGGCUAAAAUUUGUAGUGCUGGUGAGGGAGUUAUUGGCUUGGCUCAGGCACCUACAGCCUGACACAAAGAGCACGGGUACGCACGGUGGAGGAACUCCACUCAGCACAUCCCAGAGCUCUCUGGCAACCAGUGUGGGUAAAGGACGACUCCAUCAGCCCUCCUCCUGGGUGACACGUUUGUGUGCCUACCUCUGUCAGCUCAGACUGCUUCAUUACCUGCGCCGGCGUUUCCUCACGCAGGUGCCCAGCGCUGACAGCACCACUGGUCUUUGUGGCAAGAAACGCUUCCUGACACCCAACCCGUUCCUCCCCCGGCACAGCUGAGGCCAUCUGUGGUGCCGUGGCAGUGCCUGGGGGCGGCGGGCCGUCAGCCGGCGCUCGUCGUCCAAAGGGAAACACCGCCGUUCUGCCCCUCUCUCCACCACAGCGUGCGCGGGAGGUGGGGAAAGCGCUGCGGAGGGGCUUUCGUUUUAAACCGGGUUUUCCCUCCGAGCGCAAAGCCUGAAGGAAAAAAAAAACAAAAACAACAACAACAACAACAAAAAAAGAACCAACCAAAAAGCAGAAAUUACCUCACGUUCGCUCCGAACGCCCAACGAGGCACCGGCGCGGCGCUGGGAGCCCUUCAUCCCCGCGACACCGAACCGGGCACGGGCCGGUUAAAAACAGAAGCGCUGAAUCACGACCGAGCGCCCGACUUCGCCCUCCGCCGCGGGCCGAGCGCUGCGGGGCAGCCCGGUG
RNAcentral lists this long non-coding RNA (6176 nucleotides) under Gallus gallus (chicken). Its description in RNAcentral is "lncRNA (ENSGALG00010015335.1)". The record is from RNAcentral. Lineage: Eukaryota; Metazoa; Chordata; Aves; Galliformes; Phasianidae.